This 459-nucleotide ribosomal RNA is filed under the name Janulum spinispiculum. RNAcentral describes it as "partial 28S ribosomal RNA". Lineage: Eukaryota; Metazoa; Porifera; Demospongiae; Axinellida; Raspailiidae. The record is from RNAcentral.
CAAGAGAGCGCGAAACCGUUAGGAGGGAAGUGCAGGGCAGCGAGCGGAAGGCCCUUGGUGGAAUUCAGCCGUCUGCAGGUCUCCGACAGUGGGCGACCAGUGGCGGUGCACUUUUCGCCAGGGCACGUCAGCGGCGAUUGCCCCGAUCCCGCAAGGCGKCGGAGGAUGUCUCUCCGGAGGCCAGGUAACCGGGACGGCUCUCGGGUCGUCUCGGAGCGUAUACUCUKCCGUCUGGGGCGUCGGGGCGAUCGAGGAGUGGGUUCGUUCCGUSGGCGUCCAUUCGCCUGGAGCAAAGGCAGGUGCGGGCCAGAGGGUUUGGCCGGGCGGCCCCUGGCGACCGUGAGAUCCGAGCGAGUUCUGCCCCGUCCUCGUGGCGGGCGGCUCGUGCGGGUUCUCUCGGCGUCGGGGUGUCCGUCUCGCCCGCGCCUAGGUGGCUGACGUGGAGUCGUUGCCGUGCGU